UUAGGCAUAUUACUAAGGGGAGGAAAAGAAACUAACAAGGAUUCCCUCAGUAGCGGCGAGCGAACAGGGAAGAGCCCAUCGCUGAAUCCCCCAGGCUUGUGGCUUGGCGGGAAAUGUAGCGUUAAGGCGGGUCCAAUUCACCCGGUAGGCAGGAGUGCAGUUCAAGUUCACCUUGAACGGGGCCACAAAGAGGGUGACAGGCCCGUAGAACGCACUUUUAAAAUCUGUCCCGGGAGGGCCUCGCCUGAGAGUCGGUUUGCUUGAGAGUGCAGACCUAAGUGGGUGGUAAACUCCAUCUAAGGCUAAAUACGACCACGAGACCGAUAGCACACAAGUACCGUGAGGGAAAGGUGAAAAGAACUUUGAAGAGAGAGUUAAAGAGUACGUGAAACUGAAGUGGUGUAAACGGAAGAGACCGAAAAGUCCGACCGGGGACAUUCAGGCCCACCGGGCAAGAAGUAGGUGUCAGGCGCGGACGGUGCGGAACAGCCAGGCCUCUCGGGGUACUGGCUUGACCGUAUUCGCCCGCCUGCCCUGCGAAUUUUAUCUUGCUCCGGAGAGCGCUGCACUUGUCCCCAAGUAGGACGUCGCAACUCGUUGGUGGCGGCCGGUUAAGCCCUGAGGUUUGCCUUCGACCACGUCCGGGCGCUUGUGCUCUUCGGAGCCUUGUUGUUGCGGACGGGGGCCCUCUUAGGUGACCCGGCCGCUUUUUUCCGACGGUAGUAAAGCUUGGGCUAAGGACCGCGCGAUUUUAAAAAGCACCAGUCGCGUCCCCGUGAAUGCUGUUACGGCGUUCAAGUUCGGGACAGGUCCGCCCUCGGUUAGCGGCGCUACUGCUUUCGGUACUUUUCCGACCCGUCUUGAAACACGGACCAAGGAGUCUAACAUGUGCGCGAGUCAUUGGGUUAUGAUAUUAUUAUAACUAAACCUAAAGGCGCAAUGAAAGUGAAGGCAAAAAAUUCAUUUUUUUUUUGCUUUGGGAGGAUGGCCUGUCCUGUGUUUUGGCAGGCCCGCACUCCCGGGGCGUCUCAUCCUCUUCACUGAGGAGUGGCGCACCCAGAGCGUACACGUUGGGACCCGAAAGAUGGUGAACUAUGCCUGGCCAGGACGAAGUCAGGGGAAACCCUGAUGGAGGUCCGUAGCGAUUCUGACGUGCAAAUCGAUCGUCGGAGCUGGGUAUAGGGGCGAAAGACUAAUCGAACCAUCUAGUAGCUGGUUCCCUCCGAAGUUUCCCUCAGGAUAGCUGGCGCUCAUGUUCGGAAUGAGACGAGUCUCAUCCGGUAAAGCGAAUGAUUAGAGGCCUUGGGGCCGAAACGACCUCAACCUAUUCUCAAACUUUAAAUGGGUGAGAACUCUGGCCUGCUUAAACCUUGAGGCCAGAGGUUUUUUCUAAACGGAUCAGAGUGCCAAGUGGGCCAAUUUUGGUAAGCAGAACUGGCGCUGUGGGAUGAACCAAACGCAGAGUUAAAGCGCCUAAAUCGACGCUCAUGGGAGACCAUGAAAGGCGUUGGUUGCUAUGGACAGCAGGACGGUGGCCAUGGAAGUCGGAAUCCGCUAAGGAGUGUGUAACAACUCACCUGCCGAAGCAACUAGCCCUGAAAAUGGAUGGCGCUGAAGCGUCGUGCUUAUACUCUGCCGCUGCCGGCAAGAGCGGUGUCCCCCCACUUCAUUGUGGGGGCCCAUGAAGCCGCAGCGAGUAGGAGGGUCGCGUCGGUGAGCGCAGAAGGGUCUGGGCGUGAGCCUGCCUGGAGCCGCCGACGGUGCAGAUCUUGGUGGUAGUAGCAAAUACUCCAGAGAGGCCCUGGAGGGCUGAUGUGGCAGAAGGGUUUCGUGUGAACAGCCGUUGCACACGAGUCAGUCGAUCCUAAGCCCUAGGGGAAACCCGAAGUCGAUGUGCGAGUCAGAAAAAGAAUUCAAUUGUUUUCAUUUCGACGACCGCCAUCGGGCGAAAGGGAAUCCGGUUCCUAUUCCGGAACCCAGGUCCGGAACCGUCACAAUGCGGGCCCUCAAAAAGCUCGACAGGGUAACCUAACAUGCCCCGGAGACGCCGUCGGGAGCCCCCGGGAGAGUUAUCUUUUCUGUAUAAGCGAGCGAAUCCCCUGGAAGCCUCUAGCAGGGAGAUAGGGGACGGCUCGCGAAGAGCACCGCACUUGCGGCGGUGUCGGGGGCGGCCUCUCGGACCUUGAAAAUCCGGGCGAGGGUCACGUGGACGACCGGCCUGGCUCGUACCCAUAUCCGCAGCAGGUCUCCAAGGUGAAGAGCCUCUAGUCGAUA
RNAcentral lists this ribosomal RNA (2274 nucleotides) under Merothrips floridensis. RNAcentral's name for it is "eukaryotic LSU rRNA". It matches the Rfam family "Eukaryotic large subunit ribosomal RNA", at positions 34 to 1892 of the family's 3401-position model. The record is from RNAcentral. Lineage: Eukaryota; Metazoa; Arthropoda; Insecta; Thysanoptera; Merothripidae.